GAUGAACGCUGGCGGCGUGCCUAAUACAUGCAAGUCGAGCGAACAGACGAGGAGCUUACUCCUCUGACGUUAGCGGCGGACGGGUGAGUAACACGUGGAUAACCUACCUAUAAGACUGGGAUAACUUCGGGAAACCGGAGCUAAUACCGGAUAGCAUGUUGAACCGCAUGGUUCAACAGUGAAAGACGGUCUUGCUGUCACUUAUAGAUGGAUCCGCGUCGCAUUAGCUAGUUGGUAAGGUAACGGCUUACCAAGGCAACGAUGCGUAGCCGACCUGAGAGAGUGAUAGGCCACACUGGAACUGAGACACGGUCCAGACUCCUACGGGAGGCAGCAGUAGGGAAUCUUCCGCAAUGGGCGAAAGCCUGACGGAGCAACGCCGCGUGAGUGAAGAAGGUCUUCGGAUCGUAAAACUCUGUUAUUAGGGAAGAACAAAUGUGUAAGUAACUAUGCACGUCUUGACGGUACCUAAUCAGAAAGCCACGGCUAACUACGUG
RNAcentral lists this ribosomal RNA (497 nucleotides) under uncultured bacterium. RNAcentral's name for it is "partial 16S ribosomal RNA". It matches the Rfam family "Bacterial small subunit ribosomal RNA", at positions 28 to 507 of the family's 1533-position model. The record is from RNAcentral.